GGCGGCCGUGCCUAAUACAUGCAAGUCGAACGGUCUUUCUAUGGAAGCUUGCUUCCACUGAGAAGAUAGUGGCGAACGGGUGAGGUAACACGUGGGUAACCCUGCCCAUAAGAGGGGGAUAACAUCCGGAAACGGGUGCUAAUACCGCAUAGUUUCUUGAUCGCAUGAUCGAGAAAGGAAAGACGGCCUUUGUGCUGUCGCUUAUGGAUGGACCCGCGGCGUAUUAGUUAGUUGGUGAGGUAACGGCUCACCAAGACGAUGAUACGUAGCCGACCUGAGAGGGUGAUCGGCCACAUUGGGACUGAGACACGGCCCAAACUCCUACGGGAGGCAGCAGUAGGGAAUCUUCCGCAAUGGACGAAAGUCUGACGGAGCAACGCCGCGUGAGUGAAAGAAGGUUUUCGGAUCGUAAAACUCUGUUGUCAGAGAAGAACAAGUUGGAGAGUAACUGCUCCAGCCUUGACGGUAUCUGACCAGAAAGCCACGGCUAACUACGUGCCAGCCGCGGC
Molecule: ribosomal RNA, 509 nt
Filed under: uncultured bacterium
Lineage: Bacteria
Description: bacterial SSU rRNA
Rfam family: Bacterial small subunit ribosomal RNA
Source: RNAcentral